Molecule: long non-coding RNA, 898 nt
Filed under: Prunus persica (peach)
Lineage: Eukaryota; Viridiplantae; Streptophyta; Magnoliopsida; Rosales; Rosaceae
Description: long non-coding RNA (PPER_LNC000447)
Source: RNAcentral
UGGGAUAUUAUAUUUCUUGUGUAAUAUGAGAGUGCAAGAGAGGUAUUAAUUGAGUCUGAAAAUGAAAGGAAAACAAAUAGAAGACGGGGAAAACAAAAAGGGGCAUGUAUUUUUUGGGAUGUCUCUAUCUCCUCCUACGGGGAAAACAAAAUUGUGCAAAGAAAUGUAGGAGAGUGAUUGUCGUAAGUCGUAGUUACCGUUGUCAUCAUGUGCCGACACUUGACAGGAGACCCGCCAAUCGUCUGUAUGCAAUGCGAUCUGCGGAGCAACACCGUGACAGUAAUUAAGGCAAGACUAGAGUAAUGCUUUGGAUGGCAAACCUAUUAAAUGAGAGCAUGACGUGGUAGGCAAACCAUGAGUCCCCCUCCCAUUUUAGCGCCUGUGAUUGUGCUAGCGUUCCACAAACUUUUCCAGUCAACAGUUUUUAUUCUUUUCUUUGAGAUGAGCGGGGAAAAAAAAAACAAUAUUAGCAAACUUUUAUUUGACCAUAUCUCUGCUCUCCCACAUCUCUAUGAACUCAUAUAAAGAAGGUAUUUCUUAUUUAGUUUGUCAUUAUUUAUGAUUAAGAACUGUGAACUUGGAAGUAGGCCUCUCUCUUUUUAUCUUUACAGACGCUUAAAUAAGAAAUUUGAAAUAAUUUUUAUUGGAAUUCCUUUCUGCAGGGGUCUUGGGGUCUAGCAUGGUAGCUGAAGUUGCAGAUGGUUCUUCUUAUUUUUUAUUGGAUGUCCUAUGUAAUGCAAAUUCAUGUGGAUCAAACACUAUCCUUAUUUUUUCAUUUCUCUUUUUCAAUCUCCUAGAAGAAUCAAUGUUGCACCUGUGAAAAGGAUCCUGUUCUUGUUUCUGGAUCCAUCGGUGAGAUUAAGAAUAUUGAAUGUAUUUUUCAGCACCAAGGAUCCUA